UCGAGCGGACAGAAGGGAGCUUGCUCCCGGAUGUUAGCGGCGGACGGGUGAGUAACACGUGGGUAACCUGCCUGUAAGACUGGGAUAACUCCGGGAAACCGGAGCUAAUACCGGAUAGUUCCUUGAACCGCAUGGUUCAAGGAUGAAAGACGGUUUCGGCUGUCACUUACAGAUGGACCCGCGGCGCAUUAGCUAGUUGGUGAGGUAACGGCUCACCAAGGCGACGAUGCGUAGCCGACCUGAGAGGGUGAUCGGCCACACUGGGACUGAGACACGGCCCAGACUCCUACGGGAGGCAGCAGUAGGGAAUCUUCCGCAAUGGACGAAAGUCUGACGGAGCAACGCCGCGUGAGUGAUGAAGGUUUUCGGAUCGUAAAGCUCUGUUGUUAGGGAAGAACAAGUGCAAGAGUAACUGCUUGCACCUUGACGGUACCUAACCAGAAAGCCACGGCUAACUACGUGCCAGCAGCCGCGGUAAUACGUAGGUGGCAAGCGUUGUCCGGAAUUAUUGGGCGUAAAGGGCUCGCAGGCGGUUUCUUAAGUCUGAUGUGAAAGCCCCCGGCUCAACCGGGGAGGGUCAUUGGAAACUGGGAAACUUGAGUGCAGAAGAGGAGAGUGGAAUUCCACGUGUAGCGGUGAAAUGCGUAGAGAUGUGGAGGAACACCAGUGGCGAAGGCGACUCUCUGGUCUGUAACUGACGCUGAGGAGCGAAAGCGUGGGGAGCGAACAGGAUUAGAUACCCUGGUAGUCCACGCCGUAACGAUGAGUGCUAAGUGGUUA
RNAcentral lists this ribosomal RNA (780 nucleotides) under Bacillus altitudinis. RNAcentral describes it as "bacterial SSU rRNA". It matches the Rfam family "Bacterial small subunit ribosomal RNA", at positions 62 to 826 of the family's 1533-position model. The record is from RNAcentral. Lineage: Bacteria; Bacillati; Bacillota; Bacilli; Caryophanales; Bacillaceae.